This 479-nucleotide ribosomal RNA is filed under the name uncultured bacterium. RNAcentral's name for it is "bacterial SSU rRNA". It matches the Rfam family "Bacterial small subunit ribosomal RNA", at positions 330 to 801 of the family's 1533-position model. The record is from RNAcentral.
UGCGAACUCCUACGGGAGGCAGCAGUGGGGAAUUUUGGACAAUGGGGGCAACCCUGAUCCAGCAAUGCCGCGGGAGUGAAGAAGGCAUUGGGGUUGUAAACCUCUUUUGUCAGGGAAGAAACGGUAGUAGCUAAUAUCUAUUACUAAUGACGUGACCUGAAGAAUAACCACCGCCUAACUACGUGCCAGCAGCCGCGGUAAUACGUAGGGUGCAAGCGUUAAUCGGAAUUACUGGGCGUAAAGCGUGCGCAGGCGGUUGUGUAAGUCAGAUGUGAAAUCCCCGGGCUCAACCUGGGAAUUGCAUUUGAGACUGCACGGCUAGAGUGUGUCAGAGGGGGGUAGAAUUUCACGUGCAGCAGUGAAAUGCGUAGAUAUGUGGAGGAAUACCGAUGGCGAAGGCAGCCCCCUGGGAUAACACUGACGCUCAUGCACGAAAGCGUGGGGAGCAAACAGGAUUAGAUACCCGAGUAGUCCAGAUG